GAUGAACGCUGGCGGCGUGCUUAAUACAUGCAAGUCGAGCGAAAAGACGAGGAGCUUGCUCCUGUGACGUUAGCGGCGGACGGGUGAGUAACACGAGGAUAACCUACCUAUAAGACUGAGAUAUCUACGGGAAUCCGGAUAUAACACCGGAUAAUAUAUUGAACCGCAUGGUUCAAUAGUGAAAGACGGCUUUGCUGUCACUAAUAGAUGGUUCCGCGCUGCAUUAGCUAGUUGGUACGGUAACGGCUUACCAAGGCAACGCUGCGUAGCCGACCUGAGAGGGUGAUCGGCCACACUGGAACUGAGACACGGUCCAGACUCCUACGGGAGGCAGCAGUAGGGAAUCUUCGGCAAUGGGCGCAAGCCUGACGCAGCAACGCCGCGUGAGUGAUGGAGGCCUUCGGAUCGUAAAGCUCUGUUAUCAGGGAAGAACCGAUGUGUACUUACAUAUGCAGGUCUUGACGGUACCUGAUCAGGAAGCAACGGCUAACUACGUG
RNAcentral lists this ribosomal RNA (497 nucleotides) under uncultured bacterium. RNAcentral describes it as "partial 16S ribosomal RNA". It matches the Rfam family "Bacterial small subunit ribosomal RNA", at positions 28 to 507 of the family's 1533-position model. The record is from RNAcentral.